UGGUGGAGCGAUUUGUCUGGUUAAUUCCGAUAACGAACGAGACUCUAGCCUAUUAAAAUAGUUCGCCGAUUCUAUGUUCGGUGCCAACUUCUUAGAGGGACAAGUGGCGUUUAGCCACGCGAGAUUGAGCAAUAACA
RNAcentral lists this ribosomal RNA (137 nucleotides) under uncultured eukaryote. RNAcentral describes it as "partial 18S ribosomal RNA". It matches the Rfam family "Eukaryotic small subunit ribosomal RNA", at positions 1299 to 1458 of the family's 1831-position model. The record is from RNAcentral.